GGAGUUUGGUCCGUGCCUCAGUACCAAUGUGGGGGACCUUCCUCUCAGAACCCCUACUGAUCGUCGCCUUGGUGGGCCGUUACCCCGCCAACUGGCUAAUCAGACGCAUCCCCAUCCCUUACCGAUGAAUCUUUGCUCCUCGUUAGAUGCCCGCAAAGGAGAACAUAGGGCAUUAAUCCGACUUUCGCCGGGCUAUUCCCUAGUAAGGGGAAGGUUGGAUACGCGUUACUCACCCGUGCGCCGGUCGCCAUCGGGUGGUGUUGCCACCUCCCAUGCUGCCCCUCGACUUGCAUGUGUUAAGCCUGUCGCUAGCGUUCAUC
Molecule: ribosomal RNA, 320 nt
Filed under: uncultured Prevotella sp.
Lineage: Bacteria; Pseudomonadati; Bacteroidota; Bacteroidia; Bacteroidales; Prevotellaceae
Description: partial 16S ribosomal RNA
Source: RNAcentral